This 296-nucleotide ribosomal RNA is filed under the name uncultured fungus. RNAcentral describes it as "partial 18S ribosomal RNA". It matches the Rfam family "Eukaryotic small subunit ribosomal RNA", at positions 76 to 375 of the family's 1831-position model. The record is from RNAcentral. Lineage: Eukaryota; Fungi.
AUUUUANGNANCCGCGAAUGGCUCAUUAUAUAANUUAUUUUAUUUGAUAUUACCUUACUACAUGGAUAACCGUGGUAAUUCUAGAGCUAAUACAUGCUGAAAAUCCCCACUUCGGAAGGGAUGUAUUUAUUANAUUCAAAACCAAGGCCCUUCCGGGCUCCCANGGUGAUUCAUGAUAACUUCUCGAAACCCAAGCCCCCACCCCCGCGAUGGUUACUUCAAAUUUCUUCCCAAGCCUUUUCCCAUUCCACUGUAAGGUCCUACCCCGACCACAACUGGGACCGGGANAUNUANNA